Molecule: unclassified non-coding RNA, 448 nt
Filed under: Hevea brasiliensis (rubber tree)
Lineage: Eukaryota; Viridiplantae; Streptophyta; Magnoliopsida; Malpighiales; Euphorbiaceae
Source: RNAcentral
UAGCAAUACAUUGAAGAGAGGGUGUAUCAUUGAAACAGGAACGUGCUUGAAGAAAUCAUUAUCUACUUCAAUUCCAUCCUCUGGUGGCAAUGUGCUUGUUGCAGGCACAUUUGUUUAGUCAACAAGACCAAUUUCUUUCUUAAAGCUACCAAAAGCUGUUCAAUCUCUCUAUGCUUUUUAUAAUAUCCACUCAAACUUGCCUGUAUAGUUAUUGUCCACAUCCUCGGUUAAAAGAGUUACCUCCGAUGAAAUGCAAGCACUUACAGGGCUCAUGGGGUUGGGCUGUUUGAAAUUACACAACUUCAUUGCCAAAAUUGAUUUUUAUUAGAUGAAAGAAUAAAGGUAGAUGUUUAACAUGUUCGGACAUAAUGGAUCUGAUUAUGGUCGUGACUACUAUUGCUUGCAAAACAUUUGGUGGUCUUUCUUAUGCAUCUAAUUGCAUUCAAUA